GCGGCCGCACUAGUGAUUUCCGGUUGAUCCUGGCAGAGGUCACUGCUAUCGGGGUUCGAUUAAGCCAUGCGAGUCGAGAGGGUUCAGACCCUCGGCGGACUGCUCAGUAACACGUGGAUAAUCUGCCCUAUGGUGGAGGAUAACCCCGGGAAACUGGGGAUAAUACUCCAUAAGUCAGGAGUACUGGAAUGUCUCCUAACUGAAAGUUGCGGCGCCAUAGGAUGAAUCUGCGGCCGAUUAGGUAGUUGUUGGGGUAACGGCCCAACAAGCCUGUAAUCGGUACGGGUUGUGGGAGCAAGAGCCCGGAGAUGGAAUCUGAGACACGAUUCCAGGCCCUACGGGGCGCAGCAGGCGCGAAAACUUUACAAUGCAGGAAACUGUGAUAAGGGAACCCCGAGUGCCCGUAAACGCGGGCUGUCCCGGUGUUUAAAACACAUCGGAAGAAAGGGCCGGGCAAGACCGGUGCCAGCCGCCGCGGUAAUACCGGCGGCUCGAGUGGUGACCACUUUUAUUGGGCUUAAAGCGUUCGUAGCUUGAUUUUUAAGUCUCUUGGGAAAUCUCACGGCUUAACUGUGAGGCGUCUAAGAGAUACUGGGAAUCUAGGGACCGGGAGAGGUAAGAGGUACUUCAGGGGUAGAAGUGAAAUUCUGUAAUCCUUGAGGGACCACCGAUGGCGAAGGCAUCUUACCAGAACGGCUUCGACAGUGAGGAACGAAAGCUGGGGGAGCGAACGGGAUUAGAUACCCCGGUAGUCCCAGCCGUAAACUAUGCGC
Molecule: ribosomal RNA, 773 nt
Filed under: uncultured archaeon
Lineage: Archaea
Description: partial 16S ribosomal RNA
Rfam family: Archaeal small subunit ribosomal RNA
Source: RNAcentral